AAAAAACUUUUGGGGUGCCAGGAGGCUGAGAUUACACCCAUUGAACCUGAUGCGGAUAAUACCGACGCAGGAAAAAGUUUCUUAAAGCCU
This 90-nucleotide non-coding RNA is filed under the name Bacteroidota bacterium. Its description in RNAcentral is "Bacteroidetes bacterium TPP sequence". It matches the Rfam family "TPP riboswitch aptamer (THI element)". Rfam says of the family: Vitamin B(1) in its active form thiamin pyrophosphate (TPP) is an essential coenzyme that is synthesised by coupling of pyrimidine and thiazole moieties in bacteria. The previously detected thiamin-regulatory element, thi box was extended, resulting in a new, highly conserved RNA secondary structure, the THI element, which is widely distributed in eubacteria and also occurs in some archaea. The record is from RNAcentral. Lineage: Bacteria; Pseudomonadati; Bacteroidota.